CCCACCUCUGCUCUGCCUCCACACUCCUUGGGUCAGCUGCUUGAUUUUGAAUGGAUCACUCACUCAAGUUUGCAAGGACCAAACUCUGUUUAUUAGGUUGUGAACGUAUAUUAUUUUCCAUUGAGAACCAAAUUGACAACGUGUAUAUUGGAUUUCCAGAAAUAUGUAAGUCUUCUGCAGAAUUUCAAGGAACAACAUGGUAUCCCCUCACUUCCAUUUUGAUGAAGAAACUGAGGCCCAAGGUCCCUUAAGUAGUAAGCCUCAGAGGCAAAACCAGGUCUUCCUGACUCCAAGUCCAAUCUCUAGUCAGUAAGUGACUAUGCCUCAGGAAUCCAGAGGUUCCUCUUAGAAUCCCUAGCUUUCUUUAGGUUCUAGUUCGUGUACCAUUUCUUAUAGGAGAUCUUAACUGGCCCCUCUAAAUGUUAGUGUUCUUUGCUUCUUCCUCAAAUGAUCAUGAAUAUAUUUCUCUGAACAUUUUUAAUGUCUUUGGGAAAAUGUAUCUUUUUU
RNAcentral lists this long non-coding RNA (507 nucleotides) under Monodelphis domestica (gray short-tailed opossum). RNAcentral's name for it is "lncRNA (ENSMODG00000047393.1)". Lineage: Eukaryota; Metazoa; Chordata; Mammalia; Didelphimorphia; Didelphidae. The record is from RNAcentral.